AUUUUCACUGAUUUUAUCUAUGGUUUAGGGUUAGGAUUUUGAGUCUUUAUGUUAUUUCUCGAGUCUUUUUAGUGUCUUUUCAGGUAUUCCAUGCAACGGGACAACAAUAGGGACGAGGAGACAUUUUGGAGCAAAAGCUAAAGAAAAGGAAGCUAAGGACGAUUUUAGAUUCAGGAAUCAGAGAGAGUGUCGAUCGACACACUCUUCAUGUCGAUCGACACAAGUUUCGGUCCAGAAAAGUCCAAGACGCUUUCAAGUUUACAAAAGAGGAAAUUUGCCCCAGAAGACUUUCCUAUUUGUAUUAUUAGUCCGUGGACGUUUUAUAGG
This 327-nucleotide small RNA is filed under the name Arabidopsis thaliana (thale cress). RNAcentral describes it as "ATSL265980". Lineage: Eukaryota; Viridiplantae; Streptophyta; Magnoliopsida; Brassicales; Brassicaceae. The record is from RNAcentral.